Molecule: ribosomal RNA, 277 nt
Filed under: uncultured prokaryote
Description: partial 16S ribosomal RNA
Rfam family: Bacterial small subunit ribosomal RNA
Source: RNAcentral
CACGGGGGUUGCGAGCGUUGUCCGGAAUUACUAGGCGUAAAGGGCAGGCAGGCGGAUCCAUAAGUUUAUCGUUUAAGGCGUCGGCUUAACCGGCGUAGGGCGGUAGAUACUGUGGAUCUGGAAUGCGGUUGGGGAAGACAGAAUUCCUGGUGUAGCGGUGGAAUGCGCAGAGAUCAGGAGGAAUACCGAAGGCGAAGGCAGUCUUCCAAGCCGCUAUUGACGCUCAACUGCGAAGGUGUGGGUAUCAAACAGGAUUAGAUACCCGCGUAGUCCCUGA